This 389-nucleotide long non-coding RNA is filed under the name Trifolium pratense (red clover). RNAcentral's name for it is "long non-coding RNA (TPRA_LNC002332)". Lineage: Eukaryota; Viridiplantae; Streptophyta; Magnoliopsida; Fabales; Fabaceae. The record is from RNAcentral.
GGAAUCUUAAGCCAAUUAUUAUUUUGAUGCAUUCAUAGCUGUCCGUCCACUUCUUUGUUUGAAGUCCCCCACUUCCAAACCUUACCCCUCUUUUUAUAUAUUCUCUUCUUUUUCAUUCAUUUUUCACUACUCUCUCUUUCUAAUCUUUUCUCUCCUUCACACACACCACUUUCCUUUCUAAAUUCUAAAUCUCUCUCCAUCCUAAAAUGGCUUCCUCUGCAGCAGUACAAAUUUUUCUCAUCUUGGGUCUUUUAGCCACUUCUUGUUUAGCACAAGCCCCAACUGCUGCACCAACAAAACCACCAACAGCAACCCCAGCACCAACAGCUCAACCACCUGCAGCAGCAACACCACCAACAGCAACUCCACCUACAGCAACACCACCUGCA